GUGUUACCCUUUAAAUCACCACCUCAUUUACUGCUGGUCAAACCUCUGGGUGAAGCACAGCUGUAUCAGACGCAGUGAUGGUGAAGACGGCGGCUGCUGUACUGUCGGCACUGCUGCUGUGUGUGGGGGGCGCACUAGCGCAGGACUUCAUGUCGCCGAACAUGAACAUUAUGGAAGAACUGGGGAAACUGAAGAACAUGGAAGAACGACUGAGAACUGUGGAAGAACAACUGAGAACAAUGGAGGGGAAAAUGCAGAACCAGAACACAUUAGUAGAGGAGCUGAAGAAGGAGAAUGGAGCUCUGAAGACGACGGUGGAAACGAUGCAGGCUACACUGGAAUCACUGCAGAGCAGUAAACCAGGAUCUUCUGACGUUCCCAGCACGGCAGCAAUUUUCCGCGUCAGGCAUUGUGGAGAUUUACCCAUUAUUGAACACGGAGAUGUUACGAAGGCUCCAGAUGGGCUGGCAUUAACAGUGAGGUGCGCUUAUCUUUACAAACUUGACGGACCAGCAGAAGUAAAGUGUGUUGACAGGAAAUGGACACAGCUGCCUGCUUGUAAAGCUCCAUGUAAACUGGAUCAGUCAAAGUUUUAUUUUUCUCAAAGAGAGUACAUGCUGCACGGAGAAGAGGAAGGGCUUUUUUGUACUGCCUUUUCCAGAGUACAGGUCAAAUGUGAGAACGGAAAAGCGCUCUAUAGAGGAUGUGGUGAUAAAGACUGGUGAGAUGUGUGUGAACGUCUUCCUGCUGCAGCUUUUACUGAAACACACAAAACUGCAGAGCGACUGGAACGACCUGUAACUGCUUUACCUUUAAGCGUUACUGUAACAUUUCUCAGAACAUCUGAUUAAAAACAGAUCCUGAAUAAACAACUGUGGUCUCGUCAAAGCAUGUUUACCUCAUAAGCAUCAUACUUAUCUUAAAAACUAAUAUAAAUGGCUCAAUCACUGCGGAGGUUUUAAAUAUAUAACUUGAAAUUAUUUUCACCAGAUCACAUGAACCAUGUAUAAAUUCAGUGAUAAAUCAUUCUCAGUUUAGGCUCCUCACUGGGAAACACAGAAAGUUAAUGUAGAGGACAAUAUUGGCUUAGUAUUUGCCCUUAUUUAACAUUAUACCAUAAAUCAACAUAAUAAUAACAUGUUUAUUAAAACCAAACCCAAGGACAACAAAUAGUUACAAUAGUAACAAAAUACACAACUGACAAUAAAAAACACCUCACAACAUGCGCAUACAAAGUUUCCCGGCUGGCAGGGGGAAACUCUCUACACAGAACAGCAAAUGCUACUAGCAGUAAAGCUAUGGGUGGAAUAUUUUUCAUAGCAAAAAAAAUAUUUUCCUUCUAUAUUUUUGCGUAUUUCUCACACUUGAUUGUCCAGAUAAUCAAACUCCUUUUAAUAUUAG
Molecule: long non-coding RNA, 1401 nt
Organism: Pygocentrus nattereri (red-bellied piranha)
Lineage: Eukaryota; Metazoa; Chordata; Actinopteri; Characiformes; Serrasalmidae
Source: Ensembl